Molecule: non-coding RNA, 45 nt
Organism: Schistosoma mansoni
Lineage: Eukaryota; Metazoa; Platyhelminthes; Trematoda; Strigeidida; Schistosomatidae
Source: Rfam
AUUCAUCUGACGAAUCCCAAACAGAACGAAACGUGUGUCUUGAAU